RNAcentral lists this ribosomal RNA (253 nucleotides) under uncultured bacterium. Its description in RNAcentral is "partial 16S ribosomal RNA". It matches the Rfam family "Bacterial small subunit ribosomal RNA", at positions 524 to 776 of the family's 1533-position model. The record is from RNAcentral.
UACGAAGGGGGCUAGCGUUGCUCGGAAUCAUUGGGCGUAAAGGGUGCGUAGGUGGCGCUGUAAGUCGGGUGUGAAAUUUCGGAGCUUAACUCCGAAACUGCAUUCGAUACUGCGGUGCUUGAGGACUGGAGAGGAGACUGGAAUUCAUGGUGUAGCAGUGAAAUGCGUAGAGAUCAUGAGGAAGACCAGUGGCGAAGGCGGGUCUCUGGACAGUUCCUGACACUGAGGCACGAAGGCCAGGGGAGCAAACGGG